RNAcentral lists this long non-coding RNA (899 nucleotides) under Marmota monax (woodchuck). Lineage: Eukaryota; Metazoa; Chordata; Mammalia; Rodentia; Sciuridae. The record is from RNAcentral.
CAAACUUGAAAUCUUCCUGCCUCAGCCUCCUGAGUUGUUGGGAUUAUAGGUGUGUACCACCACACCCAGCUCUACUCAUUUUUUUUUUUAACUGCACAAUAUUUUGUAGACUGUUAGCCAUUGAAAAACUCUGUUUUCAACAAGCCUCAUGGUCGUCCCCCGUGUCAAAGAACCAUCAUUUACUUAUCUGAUUUUUCUAAUGGUGGUAAUUGGAGUGUCUCCAAUUUUCUGCUAUUAAGAACAAGGAAGCAGAGAACAUCCUGGUCCAUAAUUUAUUUUUGGGUACCUGUGAGAGAGCAAUUUUAUAACCCAUCUUUCUAGAAGUGAAAUCACUCAAUCAAAAGGAUGCAUAUUUAAAAUACGUAAUAGAAUGGCUAACUUGCCCUUCAGGUGGACUUUCUAUGUCUAGCAUGCGACAUUCUCUCCUGAUGCACGCCUGAAGACAGUUGUCACUUGGUGCUUGCUGUGGAAAAGCAUCCCUGAGUCCUAGCUGGAAGGAGCUUCUGAGAUCUUUUGGUCUGACUUCCAGGGAAGCAACCUGAGCCUUAGGAAAGGAGGUUCCCUGCCCCUCAUCAGUACCUGUAAUUCUAGUGGCUGAGGGUCAUGCAGGGCAGAGCUUAUAAACACACUGCCCACCUUGGAAUCCAAGCCUUACUACCAUUUACUGGUUGCAUAACCUUGAAUACGUUACUUGACCUCUCUGUGCCUCAGUUUCUUUAUUCAUUUAUUUAUAAAUGCUUCUAUGUGACAAAGGCUGGGCUGAGUAGCUGCAAUAGAGGUCAUAUGGACUUAAAAAGUUUAAAAUAUUGGCUAUCUGGCCCUUUAUGCAAAAAUAAAUAUGCAGUCCCUGGCAUAGAGGUUAUAGGACAAAAAUAAAUGCUGAUAUUACUGAGAACUUA